RNAcentral lists this ribosomal RNA (354 nucleotides) under uncultured bacterium. RNAcentral describes it as "bacterial SSU rRNA". It matches the Rfam family "Bacterial small subunit ribosomal RNA", at positions 1 to 334 of the family's 1533-position model. The record is from RNAcentral.
CUAUGCGCCUUGCCAGCCCGCUCAGUCAGAGUUUGAUCCUGGCUCAGGGUGAACGCUGGCGGCGCGCCUAAUGCAUGCAAGUCGAGCGUGCCCUGGUGGCUUCGGCCAUCAGGGAAAGCGGCAGACGGCUGAGUAACGCGUGAGUAACCUACCCUCUGGUGGGGUAUAGCCGCGAGAAAUCGCGGUUAAUCCCGCAUAAGAUCUCCAGGCCUUGGUUUGGAGAUGAAAGCCUUCGGGCGCCGGAGGAGGGGCUCGCGUCCUAUCAGGUAGUUGGUGAGUAACGGCCACCAAGCCGAUGACGGGUAGCUGGUCUUAGAGGACGACCAGCCAGAGGGGGACUGAGACACGGCCCCC